GGACGAACGCUGGCGGCGUGCUUAACACAUGCAAGUCGAACGGAAAGGCCCUGCUUUUGUGGGGUGCUCGAGUGGCGAACGGGUGAGUAACACGUGAGUAACCUGCCCUUGACUUUGGGAUAACUUCAGGAAACUGGGGCUAAUACCGGAUAGGAGCUCCUGCUGCAUGGUGGAGGUUGGAAAGUUUCGGCGGUUGGGGAUGGACUCGCGGCUUAUCAGCUUGUUGGUGGGGUAGUGGCUUACCAAGGCUUUGACGGGUAGCCGGCCUGAGAGGGUGACCGGCCACAUUGGGACUGAGAUACGGCCCAGACUCCUACGGGAGGCAGCAGUGGGGAAUAUUGCACAAUGGGCGGAAGCCUGAUGCAGCAACGCCGCGUGCGGGAUGACGGCCUUCGGGUUGUAAACCGCUUUCGCCUGUGACGAAGCGUGAGUGACGGUAAUGGGUAAAGAAGCACCGGCUAACUACGUG
This 469-nucleotide ribosomal RNA is filed under the name uncultured bacterium. RNAcentral describes it as "partial 16S ribosomal RNA". It matches the Rfam family "Bacterial small subunit ribosomal RNA", at positions 27 to 507 of the family's 1533-position model. The record is from RNAcentral.